This is a long non-coding RNA of Setaria italica (foxtail millet), 3444 nucleotides long. RefSeq lists it as uncharacterized. The record is from RefSeq and is a predicted model, not a curated record. The transcript has 4 exons. Lineage: Eukaryota; Viridiplantae; Streptophyta; Magnoliopsida; Poales; Poaceae.
UAGAAAUCCAACCGGAAGCCCCGAGGCCCGACCGCCCGAGCGCGUACCUGCGAAGAUGCGCUGCGCUGCGUCUGCGUCCCUCCUUUCUUUCUCCCCUUCGCCUCGAUCUCUGUCUCUCUCUCUCUCGCCCUUUUCCCUCGCAGCGACGUCUGGGACUGGGAGUGCCGGAGUGCCGAGUGCCGCCGCCCUUCGCCAGCGAUGAGCACCCACCAAGUAAUCAGAUCCAUAAUCAUGCAGUGGGAUGAAAGGAAAAACUACCUGCAGCGAAACACAGGUUAGUAGCUCAUCAUCAAAGUAACGAAUACAGAACACAGAAAUUCACACUUUCAACAUUAGUCCGAACUCUGAAAUAGAUAGAUAUGAACUGUAGUAGGCAUAGCAUGUUAUGUUACCACCUUUUGGACUUGUAGUGAAGAUUAUACCCUAAUUAUGCUCUGUAAUCCGUACAUUCUAAGGCUUUCGAGAAAGUUCUUGUGCUUAUUGUCCAUAUUAGCUGUGAGAUGCUCGAGGAAGUCACUGAAGCUGCUCUCUUUGUACUUUGGGGGAUUUUCUUCGUCCACAAGCUCCUUGGCACAGGUGACCUUCUCAUGUAGUGCAAAACCAUGAAUGCUGGGUAUAGAAAUCCUUGCUUCUUCAGGUUUCAGAAGGGCACGAUGCACAACUGUUUUCAUUCUACCAUUGCUCAGGACUUCCAUGUGGUCUCCAAUGUGGACGUGCAAUGCAUGUGGAAGUUUCUGAACCGUUUUCCAGAUGUUGCUGCUGCGGUCGACAACUUCAAGGCCCGGACAACUUGUGAGCAAGAUGAUUGGUGAUUGCUGUGGCCAAUAUUGAAUCCAAUCGCUGAGUGGAUGAGCAUAAUGCUUUAGGAAUGCCUGGGACAUGUUGAUGCUAUCUUUUGAGCUGGUAUCAUAUCUGAUAGGUUGCCGGAGGUCCUCUGAUGAACUCUUCCUUUGUCUCACUUGGUAGUUCGAAGAAAUCUGAAGCUGAUUUAACAGCACAAUCCAUGACAGAUUGACUGAUCCCAUGGUUUAUAACCUGCAAAAUUGAUCAAUCAUCAGAGAUUUGGACAGGGAAACAAGCUGUCUUUGUUCCCUUAAAGUUGAGGAUCUGGCAAGGUUUUAUGGAAAGGCAACAGAUCAAGUUCUUUUCUGAAAACAAAAUCUGGCAAGCCACUGAAGGCUGGAAUGUUCAUAGCGCCCCAAAACUGCCCAUGACAGACCAGGCAUCUUACAAUCUGCCUUUCAAAGUACAAAAAUGAUCUCCCCAGUGAGUGGAAUCCCUAAUGGAAAUUUUAACCAUCGCGAUGAAAACUGAAGGGCAAGAUGUGAAUGGAAGUUCUUCUCAACUUUUUGUGUCAGUUUCCAUGCAACUGAGGGACAACGUGGAGCUGAUCCUCCUAGCUGAUUCACACAGACAAAUACGUGGUGUGGUCAAAGGUUUUUCAUAUGCUCCAAAUCUCACACAGCUUAAAGCAUCAGACUUGGAGCCAAAAGUGCAAAUGUAGUUCGUCAAACAAAGCAGUUCAGUAGAGACAGAAUGCUUGUAUCAUAAUAAUCUGGGUGUACUAUUAGCGAGACGAUAUCAGAGCUAUCUGCUGGAAGGCCUGACGUCAAAACUUCUAAGGUUCAAGUUGUUUAUCUUCUGUAGUAUUGCUUCAACUAGAAUAUGUUAGUUCGUCAGUUUUUGCCUUGGACAAGUGACAAGUCAGCUUCCUUGGUACAGUCUUGCAGAGUUCACAAGUGGCAACAUUAAUCAUCAGUCUCAGACAAAGGAAAAGGUCAAGUUAAAGAGAAGGAAAGGACAAAAAAGGCCCUGUUAUGCAGUGAUGUAAAGGAGCAUACCUGGAAGUACCCUAGAUCACGGCAUGCUUUGGCAAUAUCGUUAACCACGCGAGAUCGGGUUACGGAAUCAAGGCUGAGGUGGCCAAGGUUGAUCACCGGCAUUGGUAGCGGGUGCAGGUCCUCCGACGGGAGCUACUCCUGGGGGACAGUCCUUGACAAGUCAGACAUGUUGGCUGACAAAGCACAGCACCAGACACAGAGAGGUCAAUCUACUAUUCAGAAUCAGAAUAUGGAAUGAGGUACAACCGUUGUGAUUCCAUCUACUUAUAGGAUGCUGAAAUCGCAGGUACGUGAAAAACCGCCUCUUGGCUUCGCAGUGCUUGCUCCUAAGGAAUGAGAGUAUAGAAGUGUACAUACACCUGAUGGUCUUCACCUGGACCGCGCUUGGCUCCAAAGGAGAUGUCAAGGCAUACGCACACCGGUCCAUGCAUGCAUUCGUCAGUAUUCUGGUCCAGGAGAAGGUCCUGGGCUGGCACUGCAUGGACGUGCCUGUUGGACUGUGCACCAUGCAACUAAAAAAUUGCAAGCAUCAUAGGCUGCUGGAUAGAGCUCCAGGCAUCUCACUCUCAGCCGCUCUUCUUCAGUUCUCCAUAGUGUGUUAACAUCCCGUGCGGCGGGGGCAUGCAACUGGUGUUUUCUUAUGACCCAAGGUUACGUGGAUAAUAUUGUUUGUAGGAGAGUUGUUUUGCUGAUGUUGCUGCUGCCCAGGGGGUUUUCAUGUGGGCAUAACGCCUAAAAGAUUUGUCAGUUAUAAAUGGUGCAGUGGGCAGGGUCCCAAAAAGGGGGCAUUUGGCGGGUUUUGCAGGCUGCGUGUGCGAGCAUGGUGGAUCAUCUCCAGCUGCAGAAGCAGUCGGACGAGUGGUUUUGUGGCGAGUGCUGAUGCCUGUCCAGGUUCAGGGUGUUUGAGUUCGGUGUGCUGACAAUCAUCAGAUCAAGAAAUCAUUUUCCAGCUGCCAGCAACCAGUGGUCUUCAUGGGCGGCUGCUGGCUGGUGUAAUGUUGCUUACGUUUCAGAUAUCCCGGCGCCUGCUGCUCUGUCGGCUUUGAAAUGCCAUGAAGAAGUGACGAGUAUUCUAUCUUGCCACGGAAGCUUAUUUUAGAAGAUGUCGACAAGGACUAACAGAAGGAGCUUUUUGAGUUUAAUCAAGUGCUUUCUGUUUCGAAGCUGGUACGUCCGGCUACGCAGAUGUCCUGCUAUAACCGUCCGAUCUGAGAUAUCAACGGUCGAGCUAAGGUGUGGACUUUUCUUUGCUACUCCGUGUGGGUUCUCUUGCUGUGCGACUGCGUAUACGUAUACCCAAGUUGACAGCUCAACACAGCAGUACUAGGAUAGUGAUAUCAGUGAGUCAGCAGAUGUUUAGCAAGGGCUAGAGGCUAGAAGGGGUUGCGCCAACCAGGUUCUCUCUGUAUUAAGGUCGUAUAAUACAUCUGACCGAAUACGCAUUCAAACUUUUUUUGUCUGCUCGCUCUGUCGGCAAUUCAGCAUUCGUUUGGAAUGCCACGAGGAAGGUAGAAAUUGUUGCUCUUCCGCCUGUGUGGAUAUGGGUGCAUUUACUGUAAAAUUCUCUGUUUCGUAGUUCUUGAAAAAUUGUCCUGUUCGUGUU